ACGAACGCUGGCGGCGUGCUUAACACAUGCAAGUCGAACGGAAAGGCCUCUUUCGGGGGGUACUCGAGUGGCGAACGGGUGAGUAACACGUGAGUAACCUGCCCUUGACUUUGGGAUAACUUCAGGAAACUGGGGCUAAUACCGGAUAGGAGCUCCUGCUGCAUGGUGGGGGUUGGAAAGUUUCGGCGGUUGGGGAUGGACUCGCGGCUUAUCAGCUUGUUGGUGGGGUAGUGGCUUACCAAGGCUUUGACGGGUAGCCGGCCUGAGAGGGUGACCGGCCACAUUGGGACUGAGAUACGGCCCAGACUCCUACGGAGGCAGCAGUGGGGAAUAUUGCACAAUGGGUGGAAGCCUGAUGCAGCAACGCCGUGUGCGGGAUGACGGCCUUCGGGUUGUAAACCGCUUUCGCUCAUGACGAAGCUUUGUGUGACGGUAGUGGGUAAAGAAGCACCGGCUAACUACGUG
RNAcentral lists this ribosomal RNA (465 nucleotides) under uncultured bacterium. Its description in RNAcentral is "partial 16S ribosomal RNA". It matches the Rfam family "Bacterial small subunit ribosomal RNA", at positions 29 to 507 of the family's 1533-position model. The record is from RNAcentral.